Molecule: long non-coding RNA, 745 nt
Organism: Manis pentadactyla (Chinese pangolin)
Lineage: Eukaryota; Metazoa; Chordata; Mammalia; Pholidota; Manidae
Exons: 3
Source: RefSeq, a predicted model, not a curated record
GCAUGCAGGUAAAGAAAUCUACACCAUUAAAUCCCCAUGGUGUGUUUCAGACAAGAAGUGAACAGCUAAGAGCCACCGCAGGGUGCUGCAUGCCAUGGAAUUGAAGAGGAGGAUCUGAUCUUUGUCUUAGCCACCCAGCUUUAACUUUUGGUUCCAUUUUAGACCUUGCUGAGCAUGUCUGUUGUGGAGUCAUGGAAUAGACCCAGCACAGGCUUUGGGGAUCACCUGGAGACAAAAGGCUAGUGACUUAUAAGAAGGUUACAUUACUGAGGAAACCAACAGGGUGAGAAAGAGCCUCCCAACACUUGCAAAAGUGAAGAGAAAGGUAUUGCUCUGAGGCACUGUUUGGGAAAAACAGCCAGUCUGGAGAUGUCUUGAGUAGCUGAGCUGUCAUACCUGCUGGACCACUAGCUGCCUCACAUUGCAACGCCAUGUGAACCUGUCACCAGAAUAGUGACACAUCACCUUGCAUUGUUACCCAUCUUACUCUGCCUCACUUUGCUUUUCCCUGACUCUUUCUAUGCUGGGGUCUUGUUUCCCAAAUAAAGUAUGACUACUUAGUAUGUGUUUCAGCAACAGGCUCUUUCACUAGGGCCCUGGGACAAAGAUAUCACUGAUUCCAGGUCAGAGUGAAAAAUAAAGACACACCUGGACGCAUCAAAGUGAAACUCCAGAUACCAAAGACAAAGACAAAAAUCUUAAAAACAACCAGAGAGAAAGGAUAGAUCAGCUUUAGAGAAGUGAC